Molecule: ribosomal RNA, 405 nt
Filed under: uncultured bacterium
Lineage: Bacteria
Description: partial 16S ribosomal RNA
Rfam family: Bacterial small subunit ribosomal RNA
Source: RNAcentral
AUAUUUGGCAAUGGAGGGAACUCUGACGCAGCGACGCCGCGUGAGCGAUGAAGGUCUNNNGAUCGNACAGCCCUGUCCUUGGGNAAGNAGGUCUUCGGACUUGACGGUACCUAAGGAGGAAGCCCCGGCUAACUACGUGCCAGCAGCCGCGGUAAUACGUAGGGGGCAAGCGUUGUCCGGAAUUAUUGGGCGUAAAGGGUGCGUAGGCGGCCUUUCAAGUCAGAUGUGAAAGACCACAGCUUAACUGUGGGAUUGCAUUUGAAACUAGAAGGCUUGAGUGUCGGAGAGGGUAGUGGAAUUCCCGGAGUAGCGGUGAAAUGCGUAGAUAUCGGGAGGAACACCGGUGGCGAAGGCGACUACCUGGACGACAACUGACGCUGAGGCACGAAAGCUAGGGGAGCAAAC